Molecule: ribosomal RNA, 253 nt
Filed under: uncultured bacterium
Lineage: Bacteria
Description: partial 16S ribosomal RNA
Rfam family: Bacterial small subunit ribosomal RNA
Source: RNAcentral
GACGGGGGGGGCAAGUGUUCUUCGGAAUGACUGGGCGUAAAGCGCACGUAGGCGGACUCUUAAGUCGGUGGUGAAAUCCUGGAGCUCAACUCCAGAACUGCCUUCGAUACUGAGAGUCUCGAGUCCGGGAGAGGUGAGUGGAACUGCGAGUGUAGAGGUGAAAUUCGUAGAUAUUCGCAAGAACACCAGUGGCGAAGGCGGCUCACUGGCCCGGUACUGACGCUGAGGUGCGAAAGCGUGGGGAGCAAACAGG